GUGCUGCUUCUUCUCCAAGGAAUGAAUGCUGCUCAAAUUUGAUCCCGAAUCAUUCAAGAGAUCGAGGGCGGCUAUAGAGUUGGCACUCCCCCUCUAGAUAUAUAGGCCUCCCCUCCCCUCAAUGAUAUAUGGUAUUAUCCACAUAUAGUUCGAGGUUGUCGAGGCCCCGACUACCUAUAUGGCUUGACGGUUAAGUCCUUCACCCACUCUUUGUCCUACCUGACUUGUCUUAGAACCCUCAGUCCAAUGUGGCCAAACUCUAAGACAGAGUAAGAAACUGAGAAUGUAUAUUAUCAGUGUGGUUAAUUGAUUCGGUCUCGGCAUCUGCUUAUUAUGGCGGAGGAGGAAACGGAUGGAAGGCAACCUCUGCAACCUUGUACGAAGACUCUGAUGCUCUCGACAUCAUGGUUUACAUGCCCUGUCAAUGCUUCCACAUUCUGCAGACGUGCCUAAUGGGGAGGCACAUAGGGUGUAGAAAUUGUUCCAUUCAAGUUACAAGGUCACUAUUAUAUAGAGAGGUCUAUAUUGGUAAAUCACCAUUGUACCAGGAGUUGCUCAUAUUUGUUUUCACGAUGCUAAUAUCCUGUUCCAAAGCUCCCAUUUUGCCACAACCAAGCAGAACGAUGUAUUUUGUGCAUAUCCUACAGUCAUGGCGUUCCAGGAGACUGAAUUUGAUUGAGGCUUUAUGUCAAUUAAUUCACUGCCUUGUCUAUGCUUCUACAUUUUGCGCACAUCUAUAUAUCAGAGCAUUCCAACCAUGGUAUAUUACAAAACUCCUUUCAUUACGGUUUGAUGGAUGUCCAUACCCUAUUCUAAAGCACCCGUUUUAGCACAGACAAAAGAGGAUUCUGACAAAGGCUAUGGAAUCUGGAUAACACCUGUCAGUUGCAUAGUUCACGUGCUUUGUCUAUGCUUCCACAUUUUGCAUUCAUGUCUACAAAAGAAGUUGCAACUAAUAAUCCCCCUUCAUGUUCCUGAAGCGCCCAUUUUGGCAGAGGCAGGUUGCCAAGGUUUUUAAAAAUAGAAUAAACGUUGCAAGAAGUGGGAAA
Long non-coding RNA from Cryptomeria japonica (Japanese cedar), 1049 nucleotides. RefSeq lists it as uncharacterized. The transcript has 3 exons. NCBI's taxonomy places the organism in Eukaryota, Viridiplantae, Streptophyta, Pinopsida, Cupressales, Cupressaceae. The record is from RefSeq and is a predicted model, not a curated record.